Zophobas morio is the source of this 260-nucleotide long non-coding RNA. RefSeq lists it as uncharacterized. The record is from RefSeq and is a predicted model, not a curated record. NCBI's taxonomy places the organism in Eukaryota, Metazoa, Arthropoda, Insecta, Coleoptera, Tenebrionidae. The transcript is spliced from 2 exons.
UGUGGACGCAUUAGACUAAUGGUAAGCAAAAAACAUAAACGACUUCGAGAGUUCACACUACGCACCGCUUUACCAUUGUCUUUGCUUUCUUUUGCUGGCUGUUUUUAGUAACAAACUUGUGUUCUAAACGACCUUCUUUCUAAAUCAUAACCAAAAGCGAAGAUACUGGUUCCGAAGUGGGAGAUGUGAGUUUACUUCCGUCAUGGAAAAAGCUGUAAAAAUCGCAUUAAUUCUUAACAUUUACAUUAACUUUUCUUUUU